RNAcentral lists this small RNA (44 nucleotides) under Arabidopsis thaliana (thale cress). RNAcentral describes it as "ATSL147120". The record is from RNAcentral. Lineage: Eukaryota; Viridiplantae; Streptophyta; Magnoliopsida; Brassicales; Brassicaceae.
AUCACAUAGUUUACUACACACAACAUCAAGAAGAAGAAAAAAAC